UACGCAUAAAUCAUGUUUUUAUUUUGAAAACAUAGCGUUCUUUGGCGUUGGCUGAGUUCACCCUCACGUGGUGGUUUAGCGUGAAGUGAACUCUAAAGUAUUAACCUCAGGAGUUAUCCACCCGCGUCUCUCAUACUGAGGUAAGAUAUAACGGGGUUUACCGUGCCCCUCUAAUAGGCUGAUCCAUGAAAACUCGCCCACUGCAGUAAGCUAAUCAAUAUCUCACCAUACAAUAAAAAUUCAACAGCAUGACAUGACAAUUUUAUCAUUAUCCAGCCUAUCAAGGCAAACAACAUUUUAUACAUUUCAACACAAAUACCAAUUCAACCAUUCAUGCUAAUAUUAUUAUAAGCCAAUCAAUUAGAACCAUAAAUUCAUAAUACAUCAAAUUGUCUCCAAUUACUUUAUUUGAAAAGCCAUCAUUCCAUUUUAAAACAAUGUUAUGAUAUUAUUUCAUUAAAUCACAUUUUGUUUAUAAAAUCGAAAAAUUAAUCAUUUAAUUCAUUUUCCAUAAAAUCACAAAAUCGGAUAAAAAUCACUUUAGAUAUUUAAGACGAUAGUAAGGUUACUCACUAUUUCGGGAGUCGAAUUCCAAGUACUCUAAUUCUUAAUUCCUCGGGUACUAUCAUUUUACUUUUGUCAGAAUACUCACCACCUAAACAUAAUGCACAAUAAGCCAUUUACUACAUUGUGCUAAAUUGUUAUAAAACCAAUUCAAGGUUUAUACUAAUGUAUGAAAUGAGAUGCAAAUUGUUCGGAUUACCGUCUAAACACGGUAUUCUACACAAAUUCAUUUGGGUCCCUAAUUAGAUCUGUAUUGGCCUAAUUCGUCUUAUUACCCGAUUAAUUGGCCAACGCGUCCAAUUUAGCUCCAAAUUGCUCUAUUUCUUUUCCAAUACCUUAAUUCACCAAACAUAAGUCAAAUAACCUAAAAUUUGGCAAAUCCAUCUUCACUUUUCUUCUUAGAAUUUUCGGUCAAUAAUGGUGCAUCAACACCGUGAUUUUUCCUACUACUUUUCCACACCAUAAUUCAUCAUUUUCUAACCAAUUCUUUUAAAAUAAAAAUCAAAUUCAUCCUCACUCAAUACAAGGUAGGUUCGGCUAUUGAUGGGUGAUGGGGAAAAUGAAUUCUUUUCUUAUUGUUUUGCUUCUAAACAUGGUAAACUAACUAAAAACACUAACAUAACUUGAAAUCAAAUCAAUCCAACAUCAUUCUCUCUCCAUACCCAUUCGGCUAGCCGUGAAUUCACCAUGAAAACAUGAAAUUUAACCAUGAAAAAUAAGGAGAAAUGCUUAAGGAAAAUAGAUUUCAAGUUUAAAUAGUGAAAUCCUACCUUUUUCACUUGUCUUCCUUGAUUUUUCACAUUUUUUCCUUUGAAAUUCUCCACUUAGGGUUCUUGUUCUUUCUUUU
RNAcentral lists this long non-coding RNA (1411 nucleotides) under Theobroma cacao (cacao). RNAcentral's name for it is "long non-coding RNA (TCAC_LNC000570)". The record is from RNAcentral. Lineage: Eukaryota; Viridiplantae; Streptophyta; Magnoliopsida; Malvales; Malvaceae.